GACGAACGCUGGCGGCGUGCCUAAUACAUGCAAGUAGAACGCUGAAGAGAGGAGCUUGCUCUUCUUGGAUGAGUUGCGAACGGGUGAGUAACGCGUAGGUAACCUGCCUUGUAGCGGGGGAUAACUAUUGGAAACGAUAGCUAAUACCGCAUAACAAUGGGUGACACAUGUCAUUUAUUUGAAAGGGGCAAUUGCUCCACUACAAGAUGGACCUGCGUUGUAUUAGCUAGUAGGUGAGGUAACGGCUCACCUAGGCGACGAUACAUAGCCGACCUGAGAGGGUGAUCGGCCACACUGGGACUGAGACACGGCCCAGACUCCUACGGGAGGCAGCAGUAGGGAAUCUUCGGCAAUGGGGGCAACCCUGACCGAGCAACGCCGCGUGAGUGAAGAAGGUUUUCGGAUCGUAAAGCUCUGUUGUAAGUCAAGAACGAGUGUGAGAGUGGAAAGUUCACACUGUGACGGUAGCUUACCAGAAAGGGACGGCUAACUACGUGCCAGCAGCCGCGGUAAUACGUAGGUCCCGAGCGUUGUCCGGAUUUAUUGGGCGUAAAGCGAGCGCAGGCGGUUUGAUAAGUCUGAAGUUAAAGGCUGUGGCUCAACCACAGUUCGCUUUGGAAACUGUCAAACUUGAGUGCAGAAGGGGAGAGUGGAAUUCCAUGUGUAGCGGUGAAAUGCGUAGAUAUAUGGAGGAACACCGGUGGCGAAAGCGGCUCUCUGGUCUGUAACUGACGCUGAGGCUCGAAAGCGUGGGGAGCGAACAGG
Molecule: ribosomal RNA, 765 nt
Filed under: uncultured Streptococcus sp.
Lineage: Bacteria; Bacillati; Bacillota; Bacilli; Lactobacillales; Streptococcaceae
Description: bacterial SSU rRNA
Rfam family: Bacterial small subunit ribosomal RNA
Source: RNAcentral